GAACUGAAGAGUUUGAUCAUGGCUCAGAUUGAACGCUGGCGGCAGGCCUAACACAUGCAAGUCGAGCGGAUGAAGGGAGCUUGCUCCUGGAUUCAGCGGCGGACGGGUGAGUAAUGCCUAGGAAUCUGCCUGGUAGUGGGGGAUAACGUCCGGAAACGGGCGCUAAUACCGCAUACGUCCUGAGGGAGAAAGUGGGGGAUCUUCGGACCUCACGCUAUCAGAUGAGCCUAGGUC
Molecule: ribosomal RNA, 234 nt
Filed under: Pseudomonas aeruginosa
Lineage: Bacteria; Pseudomonadati; Pseudomonadota; Gammaproteobacteria; Pseudomonadales; Pseudomonadaceae
Description: partial 16S ribosomal RNA
Rfam family: Bacterial small subunit ribosomal RNA
Source: RNAcentral